GAUGAACGCUAGCUACAGGCUUAACACAUGCAAGUCGAGGGGAAACGACAUCGAAAGCUUGCUUUUGAUGGGCGUCGACCGGCGCACGGGUGAGUAACGCGUAUCCAACCUGCCCACCACUUGGGGAUAACCUUGCGAAAGCAAGACUAAUACCCAAUGACGUCUCUAGAAGACAUCUGAAAGAGAUUAAAGAUUUAUCGGUGAUGGAUGGGGAUGCGUCUGAUUAGCUUGUUGGCGGGGUAACGGCCCACCAAGGCGACGAUCAGUAGGGGUUCUGAGAGGAAGGUCCCCCACAUUGGAACUGAGACACGGUCCAAACUCCUACGGGAGGCAGCAGUGUGGAAUAUUGGUCAAUGGGCGAGAGCCUGAACCAGCCAAGUAGCGUGCAGGAUGACGGCCCUAUGGGUUGUAAACUGCCUUUAUAAGGGAAUAAAGUGAGUCUCGUGAGACUUUUUGCAUGUACCUUAUGAAUAAGGACCGGCUAAUUCCGUGCCAGCCGCCGCAGUAA
This 508-nucleotide ribosomal RNA is filed under the name uncultured bacterium. RNAcentral's name for it is "partial 16S ribosomal RNA". It matches the Rfam family "Bacterial small subunit ribosomal RNA", at positions 28 to 523 of the family's 1533-position model. The record is from RNAcentral.